RNAcentral lists this small nucleolar RNA (71 nucleotides) under Helianthus annuus (common sunflower). RNAcentral describes it as "Small nucleolar RNA snoR60". It matches the Rfam family "Small nucleolar RNA snoR60". From Rfam's summary of the family: snoR60 is a member of the C/D class of snoRNA which contain the C (UGAUGA) and D (CUGA) box motifs. The record is from Rfam by way of RNAcentral. Lineage: Eukaryota; Viridiplantae; Streptophyta; Magnoliopsida; Asterales; Asteraceae.
UAUCAUAUGAUGAGCCACUCGGAUUCCCCUUCAGGACAUCCUGGAUGAUGCAAAACCGAGUUUCUGAUGAU